This 483-nucleotide ribosomal RNA is filed under the name uncultured bacterium. RNAcentral describes it as "partial 16S ribosomal RNA". It matches the Rfam family "Bacterial small subunit ribosomal RNA", at positions 30 to 507 of the family's 1533-position model. The record is from RNAcentral.
UUGCACGCUGGCGGCAGGCCUCACACCUGCAAGUCGAGCGGAUGAAGGGAGCUUGCUCCUGGAUUCAGCGGCGGACGGGUGAGUAAUGCCUAGGAAUCUGCCUGGUAGUGGGGGAUAACGUCCGGAAACGGGCGCUAAUACCGCAUACGUCCUGAGGGAGAAAGUGGGGGAUCUUCGGACCUCACGCUAUCAGAUGAGCCUAGGUCGGAUUAGCUAGUUGGUGGGGUAAAGGCCUACCAGGGCGACGAUCCGUAACUGGUCUGAGAGGAUGAUCAGUCACACUGGAACUGAGACACGGUCCAGACUCCUACGGGAGGCAGCAGUGGGGAAUAUUGGACAAUGGGCGAAAGCCUGAUCCAGCCAUGCCGCGUGUGUGAAGAAGGUCUUCGGAUUGUAAAGCACUUUAAGUUGGGAGGAAGGGCAGUAAGUUAAUACCUUGCUGUUUUGACGUUACCAACAGAAUAAGCACCGGCUAACUUCGUG